GAUCCUGGCUCGGGAUGAACGCUAGCUACAGGCUUAACACAUGCAAGUCGAGGGGCAGCAUGGUCUUAGCUUGCUAAGACCGAUGGCGACCGGCGCACGGGUGAGUAACGCGUAUCCAACCUGCCUUACACUCUUGGACAGCCUUCUGAAAGGGAGAUUAGUACAAGAUGUUAUCAUGAGUAAGCAUUUUCGCAUGAUUAAAGGUUUACCGGUGUAAGAUGGGGAUGCGUUCCA
RNAcentral lists this ribosomal RNA (234 nucleotides) under uncultured bacterium. Its description in RNAcentral is "partial 16S ribosomal RNA". It matches the Rfam family "Bacterial small subunit ribosomal RNA", at positions 15 to 240 of the family's 1533-position model. The record is from RNAcentral.